This 362-nucleotide RNase P RNA is filed under the name Clostridiales bacterium. RNAcentral describes it as "RNase P RNA component class A". It matches the Rfam family "Bacterial RNase P class A". Rfam says of the family: Ribonuclease P (RNase P) is a ubiquitous endoribonuclease, found in archaea, bacteria and eukarya as well as chloroplasts and mitochondria. Its best characterised activity is the generation of mature 5'-ends of tRNAs by cleaving the 5'-leader elements of precursor-tRNAs. Cellular RNase Ps are ribonucleoproteins. Lineage: Bacteria; Bacillati; Bacillota; Clostridia; Eubacteriales. The record is from RNAcentral.
UGAGUAACACAGAUGAUCGCGCCGAAAAUUCCGAAAGGAUACCGGUGAGGAAAGUCCGAGCUUCACAGGGCAGGGUGCCGGAUAACGUCCGGUAGAGGCGACUCUCAGGAAAGUGCAACAGAAAUAAACCGCCAAAUUAUAUUUGGUAAGGAUGGAAAGGUGGAGUAAGAGCCCACCGCUUGGUUGGUAACAAUCAAGGCAAUGCAAACCCCACCCGAAGUAAGACCGAAUUAUAAGCGUAGGCUGCCCGCUAGCUUAAGGUAGGUCGCAAUUUGUUGUAGGACAAAUGAGCUAUGUGGUAACAUAUAGCAAAGAUAGAUGAUCAUCUAAUACAGAACUCGGCUUAUAGUGUUACUCACUUA